GAUCCUGGCUCAGGAUGAACGCUAGCGGCAGGCUUAACACAUGCAAGUCGAGGGGCAGCAUGAACAAAGCUUGCUUUGUUUGAUGGCGACCGGCGCACGGGUGCGUAACACGUAUCCAAUCUGCCCGCGGCGUCGGGGAUAGCCCAUCGAAAGAUGGAUUAAUACCCGAUGGUGUGGUCACUCCGCAGUGGGGUUCCACUAAGGUUUUCCGGCCGCGGAUGAGGAUGCGUAUGAUUAGGUAGUAGGCGGGGUAACGGCCCACCUAGCCUUCGAUCAUUAGGGGUUCUGAGAGGAAGGUCCCCCACACUGGAACUGAGACACGGUCCAGACUCCUACGGGAGGCAGCAGUGAGGAAUAUUGGUCAAUGGGCGAGAGCCUGAACCAGCCAAGUAGCGUGAAGGAAGACUGCCCUAUGGGUUGUAAACUUCUUUGUUCGGGAAUAAAGUGCAGUAUGUAUACUGUUUGUAUGUACCGUUCGAAUAAGCAUCGGCUAAUUCCGUG
RNAcentral lists this ribosomal RNA (501 nucleotides) under uncultured bacterium. RNAcentral describes it as "bacterial SSU rRNA". It matches the Rfam family "Bacterial small subunit ribosomal RNA", at positions 15 to 507 of the family's 1533-position model. The record is from RNAcentral.